CUGAAGCUUCGGUCCCCGCUUCCACAUGCAGGCAUCUCUCGGGACAACUGGCACAAGCAGCGCAAGACCGGGGGCAAGAGAAAGUCCUACCACAAAAAGCAGAAGUAUGAGUUGGGGCACCCGGCUGCCGACACCAAGAUUGGCCCCUGCCGCAUCCACACAGUCCGUGUGUGGGGCGGUAACAAGAAAUACCGUGCCCUGAGGCUGGAAGUGGGAAAUUUCUCCUGGGGCUCAGACUGUUGUACUCGAAAAACAAGGAUCAUUGAUGUUGUCUAUAAUGCGUCUAAUAACGAGCUGGUCCGUACCAAGACCCUGGUGAAGAAUUGCAUCGUGUUCAUCGACAGCAUGCUGUACUGACAGUGGUACAAGUCCCACUAUGCGCUGCCCCUGGGCCCCAAGAAGGGAGCCAAGCUGACUCCUGAGGAAGAAGAGAUUUUAAACAAAAAACGAUCUAAAAAAAUUCAGAAGAAAUACGACGAAAGGAAAUAGAAUGCCAAAACUAGCAGUCUCCUGGAGGAGCAGUUCCAGCAGGGCAAGCUUCUUGCAUGCAUGGCUUCAAGGCUGGGACAGUGUGGCCGAGCAGAUGGCUAUGUGCUAGAGGGCAAAGAGUUGGAGUUCUAUCUUAGGAAAAUCAAGGCCCGAAAAGGCAAAUAAAUCCUUGUUUUCUCUCUUCACCCAUGUAAUAAAGGUGUUUAUUGUUCUGUUCAAAAAAAAAAAAAAAAGGAAAGAAAGAAAAGAAAAGUGUGAAGCAUGGAAUAUGUUACCCCAAUGGUGGAAGGUGGUGGUGAUGAGGAUGAAAUGUUUUAGAACUGGUACCAGGAAUGGGGUGUAUGAUAAGGCCAGUGACUCCCGUGAAUCUGAGCCCUCUGCUUCUCUUCCUUUGCUGUGAAAUGAGUUAUUUGGUCACACACCAGACUGUGCAAAUGCCAUAAAAAUGGAUGAAGCAUUCU
Callithrix jacchus (white-tufted-ear marmoset) is the source of this 950-nucleotide non-coding RNA. The record is from RefSeq and is a predicted model, not a curated record. Lineage: Eukaryota; Metazoa; Chordata; Mammalia; Primates; Cebidae.